This 252-nucleotide ribosomal RNA is filed under the name uncultured bacterium. Its description in RNAcentral is "partial 16S ribosomal RNA". It matches the Rfam family "Bacterial small subunit ribosomal RNA", at positions 524 to 776 of the family's 1533-position model. The record is from RNAcentral.
UACGUAGGUCCCGAGCGUUGUCCGGAUUUAUUGGGCGUAAAGCGAGCGCAGGUGGUUUAUUAAGUCUGGUGUAAAAGGCAGUGGCUCAACCAUUGUAUGCAUUGGAAACUGGUAGACUUGAGUGCAGGAGAGGAGAGCGGGAUUCCAUGUGUAGCGGUGAAAUGCGUAGAUAUAUGGAGGAACACCGGUGGCGAAAGCGGCUCUCUGGCCUGUAACUGACACUGAGGCUCGAAAGCGUGGGGAGCAAACAGG